CCAAUUUUAAGAAGGUUUAGCAUUGUGACGUCAUAGACAACUUACGCACCGUUAGCCCAUCAUCAAGAAAGGAAAACGUGUUGAUGUAUCAUUCAGCAAAAGAAGUCAACGAACUGUGUGCACACAAAACUACUAAAGAAAAUGUCAAAGGAUGAUGUGCAACCCCGAAAAGAAAUUCAACACCAACAAUCAAAGGAUUGCGCGCACCCCCAAACCAGCAACAUCAACAUGUGGUGCCUACCCGAAAAACGUUCAAAAUUAACAACUAAAUCAUGGUGCACACUCAUAAAACAUCAACAACCAGAGGAUGGUGCACACUCUCAAAACAAUCAACACCAACAACCAAAGGAUAGUGCACACCCCAAAAAAACAUUCAACAUCAGCAACCAAACGUGGAUGUGUGCCCCCAAAUACAUGCGAUAUCAAGUACCUUAGUGCACUUUUAAAACGAGCACGCUUACAACAAAGUACUGGUUAGUAAAUUUUAAUGUAUAGAACGAACUAUGUAUAGCGAAUUAACUGUUAAAACGAACUAUUUUGUGGUCAAAACUGUUAAUUUCAGUGUAAAUUAGUGUAUAUACAGCGAACCGAUCAUAAUUUUUAUAUUACUUGUAUUUUAUUUGCUUAUUUAGUAUUGUUGAUAAUAAAUUAAAAUUAAAACCCA
Molecule: long non-coding RNA, 664 nt
Organism: Gigantopelta aegis
Lineage: Eukaryota; Metazoa; Mollusca; Gastropoda; Neomphalida; Peltospiridae
Exons: 2
Source: RefSeq, a predicted model, not a curated record